UAAGAAAUCCAAAAUAAAUCUUAAAAGAAUCCUAAAGAAAUACUAAAAUAAUCAUAAAUAUAUCUUAAAUAAAUCUCAACUAAGUCCUAAUUUAAUCCUAAUUUAAAAAUUAAUGGAAUUCAAUCAAAUCUUAGAAAAAAUCCUAAAUCUUAGAUAAACUUUUAAUCCUAAAUCCUAAGUAAAUCCUAAAUCCUAAAUCCUAAG
Molecule: long non-coding RNA, 204 nt
Filed under: Physcomitrium patens
Lineage: Eukaryota; Viridiplantae; Streptophyta; Bryopsida; Funariales; Funariaceae
Description: long non-coding RNA (PPAT_LNC008456)
Source: RNAcentral